Trichomycterus rosablanca is the source of this 133-nucleotide small nucleolar RNA. RefSeq annotates it as small nucleolar RNA SNORA17. Lineage: Eukaryota; Metazoa; Chordata; Actinopteri; Siluriformes; Trichomycteridae. The record is from RefSeq and is a predicted model, not a curated record. The transcript has a single exon.
GUUGCCCCUUGAGGCGUUGCAGUGCGACUCGGUGUCUUUUCUGUGUCAUAAGGUGGCAUAGAACAAAGGGCUAUGUUUACGCCUAGCACCCGUCUAUUGCAGUGGGUUCUCGGUGUCUUUAUAGUCCUACAAU